GAGUAGCGCAAGACACCAAAGGGCCUGCAGACUGAGCUUCACCCGCAUGGAGAGGCGGUCCAGCAGCCCAUGACACCAAAGGAUAAGUAGCCCUGUGUAGCUUGCCCGGCCUCACAGCACACAACGGCAAACACUACACCACGAUGGCUCUCAGUGCAACCAGCACAAGCUUGGUGGUACUGUGCCUCGUCUCUCUCCUCCUCGUCGCUUCGUUUGCUGAUGAUACCUCCGCCGGAGCCCAUGCAGAUGCUGGGAGGAGUAUGCAAUCAGGAGCGGUCGUGGAUGCGAGGUCCGGCCAGCACCAGCAUACGGUCCACCGACUUACGGCGCAUAUGGUCGGAUUGGUCGGAUUGGAUUAGGAUAUCAACAUGGUCUAAAAAAAUGCCUCGCUGCAGCUUUACAUCACCGCUCCACCCAACAACUCAAUUGCGUAUAUCAACAGUCGACAAGCACAACACCGCCGCCUACCGGUUAUCUUGCCGCAUCGCCAUUUUGUAGGAGACAAAGUCAUUAUGCUGUCAUGACCCCAUCACUCUUGAGUCAUCAUCACCAAUUGACAACGAUAUUUCAAAAUCCAGUUAAGACACUCACAUGCAGUGUUAGCCGCUGCAGUUUGCUGCAAGCAAUGAAGCCACCAGCCAUCAGAACCGUUUCUGCCGCCUUAUGAUGUUAUCUCACA
Long non-coding RNA from Panicum hallii, 679 nucleotides. RefSeq lists it as uncharacterized. NCBI's taxonomy places the organism in Eukaryota, Viridiplantae, Streptophyta, Magnoliopsida, Poales, Poaceae. The record is from RefSeq and is a predicted model, not a curated record. The transcript is spliced from 2 exons.